Molecule: ribosomal RNA, 266 nt
Filed under: uncultured Staphylococcus sp.
Lineage: Bacteria; Bacillati; Bacillota; Bacilli; Caryophanales; Staphylococcaceae
Description: partial 16S ribosomal RNA
Rfam family: Bacterial small subunit ribosomal RNA
Source: RNAcentral
CGGCGGACGGGUGAGUAACACGUGGGUAACCUACCUAUAAGACUGGGACAACUUCGGGAAACCGGAGCUAAUACCGGAUAAGAUAUCGAACCGCAUGGUUCGAUAGUGGAAGAUGGUUUUGCUAUCACUUAUAGAUGGACCCGCGCCGUAUUAGCUAGUUGGUGAGGUAACGGCUCACCAAGGCAACGAUACGUAGCCGACCUGAGAGGGUGAUCGGCCACACUGGAACUGAGACACGGUCCAGACUCCUACGGGAGGCAGCAGCC